UACAGAGGGUGCAAGCGUUGUUCGGAAUUAUUGGGCGUAAAGGGCGCGUAGGCGGUACUGUAAGUCGGAUGUGAAAGCCCAGGGCUCAACCCUGGAAGUGCAUUCGAAACUGCAGAACUAGAAUCUUGGAGAGGGUGGUGGAAUUCCCGGUGUAGAGGUGAAAUUCGUAGAUAUCGGGAGGAACAUCAGUGGCGAAGGCGACCACCUGGCUGAAGAUUGACGCUGAGGCGCGAAAGCGCGGGGAUCAAACAGG
Molecule: ribosomal RNA, 253 nt
Filed under: uncultured bacterium
Lineage: Bacteria
Description: partial 16S ribosomal RNA
Rfam family: Bacterial small subunit ribosomal RNA
Source: RNAcentral